RNAcentral lists this unclassified non-coding RNA (232 nucleotides) under Melitaea cinxia (Glanville fritillary). RNAcentral describes it as "misc RNA ENSMCXG00005008915.1". The record is from RNAcentral. Lineage: Eukaryota; Metazoa; Arthropoda; Insecta; Lepidoptera; Nymphalidae.
GGGGAUUGGGGAUUGGGUCGGCAACGCGCUUGCGAUGCUUCUGGUUUUGCAGGUGUCUAUAAGCUACGGUAAUCGCUUACCAUCAGGUGAGCCGUACGCUUGUUUGCCGACCUAGUGACAUAAAAAAAAAUUGUAAAGUAGUUUUAUUUUAAUUUUUAUCGAUAAAAAAAUCAUAAUAAAAAAUGUAUACCCGAAUAAUUAUUUUCUUUAUACCUCGAAUAGAACUUGAAAU